RNAcentral lists this unclassified non-coding RNA (311 nucleotides) under uncultured Clavariaceae. Its description in RNAcentral is "sequence contains ITS2". The stretch from base 1 to 52 matches the Rfam family "5.8S ribosomal RNA", at positions 103 to 154 of the family's 154-position model. The record is from RNAcentral. Lineage: Eukaryota; Fungi; Basidiomycota; Agaricomycetes; Agaricales; Clavariaceae.
AACGCACCUUGCACCCUCUGGUAUUCCGGAGGGUAUGCCUGUUUGAGCGUCAUUAAUCUCUCAACAUGAGAAAUUUUUGUUUCUUGUGCUUGGAUAUUGAAGGUCUUGCUGGUGCAAAUAGCUGUCAGCUCCUUUUAAAUGUAUUAGCAGGGCAUGUAGGACUGGCCUCGGUUUGAUAAGAAUUUAUUAUCUAUGCUGUCGCUAGGUUUCCUCUUUGUGCUCAGCUUCAAAUUGUCUUUGGACUGUCUCUCGAGGCAACAAAACUCUUAUUGAUCGACCUCAAAUCAGGUAGGAUUACCCGCUGAACUUAA